GACGAACGCUGGCGGCGUGCUUAACACAUGCAAGUCGAACGGAAAGGCCCUGCUUGUGUGGGGUGCUCGAGUGGCGAACGGGUGAGUAACACGUGAGUAACCUGCCCUUGACUUUGGGAUAACUUCAGGAAACUGGGGCUAAUACCGGAUAGGAGCUCCUGCUGCAUGGUGGGGGUUGGAAAGUUUCGGCGGUUGGGGAUGGACUCGCGGCUUAUCAGCUUGUUGGUGGGGUAGUGGCUUACCAAGGCUUUGACGGGUAGCCGGCCUGAGAGGGUGACCGGCCACAUUGGGACUGAGAUACGGCCCAGACUCCUACGGGAGGCAGCAGUGGGGAAUAUUGCACAAUGGGCGGAAGCCUGAUGCAGCAACGCCGCGUGCGGGAUGACAGCCUUCGGGUUGUAAACCGCUUUCGCCUGUGACGAAGCGUGAGUGACGGUAAUGGGUAAAGAAGCACCGGCUAACUACGUG
This 468-nucleotide ribosomal RNA is filed under the name uncultured bacterium. RNAcentral describes it as "partial 16S ribosomal RNA". It matches the Rfam family "Bacterial small subunit ribosomal RNA", at positions 28 to 507 of the family's 1533-position model. The record is from RNAcentral.